UACGUAGGGGGCAAGCGUUGUCCGGAUUUAUUGGGCGUAAAGAGCGUGUAGGCGGCUAGAUAGGUCCGUUGUGAAAACUCGAGGCUCAACCUCGAGACGUCGAUGGAAACCAUCUGGCUAGAGUCCGGAAGAGGAGAGUGGAAUUCCUGGUGUAGCGGUGAAAUGCGCAGAUAUCAGGAAGAACACCCGUGGCGAAGGCGGCUCUCUGGUACGUGACUGACGCUGAGACGCGAAAGCGUGGGGAGCAAGCAGG
RNAcentral lists this ribosomal RNA (253 nucleotides) under uncultured bacterium. Its description in RNAcentral is "partial 16S ribosomal RNA". It matches the Rfam family "Bacterial small subunit ribosomal RNA", at positions 524 to 776 of the family's 1533-position model. The record is from RNAcentral.